RNAcentral lists this ribosomal RNA (538 nucleotides) under uncultured soil bacterium. RNAcentral's name for it is "bacterial SSU rRNA". It matches the Rfam family "Bacterial small subunit ribosomal RNA", at positions 8 to 524 of the family's 1533-position model. The record is from RNAcentral.
AGAGUUUGAUCCUGGCUCAGAACGAACGCUGGCGGCGUGGAUAAGACAUGCAAGUCGGACGGGGUUACUUUUGGUAGCAAUACCGAAGGUGAUUCAGUGGCGAACGGGUGCGUAACACGUGGGCAAUCUACCGAGAAGUGGGGGAUAGCUCGCCGAAAGGCGAAUUAAUACCGCAUGUGAUGAGAGGCGACAUCGCUUCGAAAUCAAAGGUGGCGCAAGCUACCGCUUUUUGAGGAGCCCGCGGCCUAUCAGCUUGUUGGUGAGGUAACGGCUCACCAAGGCAUUGACGGGUAGCUGGUCUGAGAGGACGACCAGUCACACUGGGACUGAGACACGGCCCAGACUCCUACGGGAGGCAGCAGUGGGGAAUAUUGGACAAUGGGGGCAACCCUGAUCCAGCAAUGCCGCGUGUGUGAAGAAGGCCUUCGGGUUGUAAAGCCCUGUGGGGAGGGACGAAUAAGUUCCGGUUAAUACCCGGAGCGAUGACGGUACCUCCUUAGCAAGCACCGGCUAACUCUGUGCCAGCAGCCGCGGUAAU